CGCGGCGUGGAGCAGUGGUAGCUCGUCAGGCUCAUAUCCUGAAGGUCGCAGGUUCGAAUCCUGCCGCCGCUACCG
Molecule: transfer RNA, 75 nt
Filed under: Salinibacter sp. 10B
Lineage: Bacteria; Pseudomonadati; Rhodothermota; Rhodothermia; Rhodothermales; Salinibacteraceae
Description: tRNA-Met
Rfam family: tRNA
About the family: Transfer RNA (tRNA) molecules are approximately 80 nucleotides in length. Their secondary structure includes four short double-helical elements and three loops (D, anti-codon, and T loops). Further hydrogen bonds mediate the characteristic L-shaped molecular structure. tRNAs have two regions of fundamental functional importance: the anti-codon, which is responsible for specific mRNA codon recognition, and the 3' end, to which the tRNAs corresponding amino acid is attached (by aminoacyl-tRNA synthetases). tRNAs cope with the degeneracy of the genetic code in two manners: having more than one tRNA (with a specific anti-codon) for a particular amino acid; and 'wobble' base-pairing, i.e. permitting non-standard base-pairing at the 3rd anti-codon position.
Source: RNAcentral